This is a long non-coding RNA of Nerophis ophidion (straightnose pipefish), 2102 nucleotides long. RefSeq lists it as uncharacterized. The transcript has 2 exons. The record is from RefSeq and is a predicted model, not a curated record. Lineage: Eukaryota; Metazoa; Chordata; Actinopteri; Syngnathiformes; Syngnathidae.
AAAGCCCCGCGAGGUCAAGACUUAAACAAGUUGAAAAACUUAUUCGGGUGUUACCAUUUAGUAGUCGAUUGUACGGAAUAUGUACUGUACUGUGCAAUCUACUAAUAAAAGUAUCAAUCAAUCAAUCAAAGACAAAGGGUUUGUACCUCAGGCUGAACAAAUGCACUUGUGAUGUCUUUAUUGUGCUGUCUCAUAAGUAGGUAGUUAUUUUCAAUGAUGGAAAGUGACACGCGGUAGAAAAUGAAUGGAUUUGAGGUUGUGCAAGACAGUGCAGGUCUUUCAGGAUUAUGAUUUACAGAUGAUCUAAAUGAGAACACGAGUAUUGAUGAUGACAAGCCUCCCAAAAUGACGGCAAUGAACAUUACUGUCUUAUUUUCCAAGCUCACUCCGCCACCAUUAUCAAGGCCACAGCCUCUGCGGGUAAACCCACUCACUAUAAUUAAAACACCACACUCACAGCGCAUCCCACAACCAACCAGUGCAGUGUUUAGGUGGCCAAUCACUUGCAUAAUUCACCACUUCAGAUAACAACAAAGCAAGAAUGACAUCCACAGUCACUUUAAUUUGCUGAAUUUCCUGAAAAACGUGGUCAUAUUAGAGUAACGCGUUACCGGCAUCGCCGUCCCUGUCUCCCUUGCAAUGUGUGCAAGAUAAACGUGAGUUGCGAUAACCCAAGAACACCUUCCCUUUUCCGUCACAACUUACCAUAUUUGUCAAAAAGCUCUUUGAGAUUGUCAUCAUUCAUAUCAUCCCCAAAGUUCUUUAUAUAGACAUUGGUGAACUCCUUAGCUUUGGCGCCAAGCUCAGCCUCUCGCUCCUUGCGAGAUUUGAAGCGACCCACAAACCUACAGAUGCAGAAAGAGAAACAAUACGCACACUUUUAAAAACAGCCCACAUUAUAGACUUAUUUUCUUAUAUCUCCGCUGAAGCUCCACAUUGACCGCCUGCUAGUUAGAGAAGAUUUACCAUUCCGAAAACAUAGCUAUAUUUCAUCACCGCAGCAGGAAUAAACAAUGAAAGAAAUACAUUACAUUUGCUGUUAAUAUCACCAGAGGCAGGCAGAUAUGUUUGCAUGCUUGACACGACACAGUGACAACCAUCAGUACCACCUUGGUCCAAAAUGAGGAGGAUGAUGAGGAAGUGGAUGGAGAAGGAUGGAGGAACAGUGUCGCACAGUACAAAGGACCAAAUGUUCUUAUAUAUACCUUUCUAUGACGACCUCUCCCAUUGUGCCAUCCAGUAUUGCAUUCCUGCAUUCGAUCCAUCACUAAAACACACAAGCCUGGUCAUACACACACAAACACACUCAGACGGGGCUGACCAGCGAGUGCAAUCAGGCUGCAUGGAAUGUUUCUGGUGAAUAGACGCGCGUUUUAGUUGGUUAUUUUGUCAGUUGAGGCGUUAUUUUCACACUGACGAAAGCGACAGAGGAGCCUAGUAGUCACAAUAUUCAGUCACCAACUGAACAAGAAAAAGUGCACAACAGAAAAGUAAAGGUUGGCAAAUAAGAGACAGAAACAGGCUGACCAACAAAGUUAUUGAUGUUAUCACCAAAAGUGCAGCAUUUGAACUUUUCUUACGUGGUGGACAAUGUAAACAAUAAUUCAAUGAUCAGACACUCACACCUUGCGGUCAUUCAACAGCAUGCCGUUCAUCUUCUCAAUGGCUCGGUCAGCAGCAUCCUGGGUCUCAAAGUGGACAAAAGCGUAGCCCUUGGAGCCAUUUUCAUCACACACAACCUGGAGGACAAGAAUAACAACACCUUGCAGGAGAGGAUGUUUCCAAAGGCAGAGAAUGUGUCAUAUAGGGCUUUGUUAUCAAUGGACUUGUCAAGGUUCUUGAUGAAGACGUUGCCCACUCCGGACUUCCUGAGGGAGGGAUCUCUUUGGGACCACAUGAUUCUGAUUGGCCUUCCUUUCACUACAUCAAAGUUCAUGGUGUCCAAGGCACGCUCGGCUGGUUGGGGAAGAGAAGCACACAGUAGAGAUAAGGGUGUUUGUUUACAUGUAGUUACGUGUUAAUAUUGUACCUUAAAACAAAUACUUUAUAGUAUGCUACAAAUGCUGUGGAAUAAAGAGGUCAGUAAACCUGUUUCUUAAGAA